GAAAAAGGUGGUUGCAGUUAAAAGCUCGUAGUUGGAUUUCGGGUGGGUUCUAGCGGUCCGCCUAUGGUGAGUACUGCUAUGGCCUUCCUUUCUGUCGGGGACGGGCUUCUGGGCUUAAUUGUCCGGGACUCGGAGUCGACGUGGUUACUUUGAGUAAAUUAGAGUGUUCAAAGCAGGCUUACGCCCUGAAUACUUUAGCAUGGAAUAACACGAUAGGACUCUGGCCUAUCUUGUUGGUCUGUAGGACUGGAGUAAUGAUUAAGAGGGACAGUCGGGGGCAUUCGUAUUUCAUUGUCAGAGGUGAAAUUCUUGGAUUUAUGAAAGACGAACUACUGCGAAAGCAUUUGCCAAGGAUGUUUUCAUUAAUCAAGAACGAAAGUUGGGGGCUCGAAG
This 393-nucleotide ribosomal RNA is filed under the name Chlorella sp. MACC 825. RNAcentral describes it as "SSU rRNA". It matches the Rfam family "Eukaryotic small subunit ribosomal RNA", at positions 606 to 1003 of the family's 1831-position model. The record is from RNAcentral. Lineage: Eukaryota; Viridiplantae; Chlorophyta; Trebouxiophyceae; Chlorellales; Chlorellaceae.